AUACGUAGGUGGCAAGCGUUGUGCGGAAUUAUUGGGCGUAAAGCGCGCGCAGGUGGUUCCUUAAGUCUGAUGUGAAAGCCCCCGGCUCAACCGGGGAGGGUCAUUGGAAACUGGGGAACUUGAGUGCAGAAGAGGAUAGUGGAAUUCCAAGUGUAGCGGUGAAAUGCGUAGAGCAUUGGAGGAACACCAGUGGCGAAGGCGACGUUCAGGUCUGGAAAUGACAAUGCGGAGAGAAAGCGGGGGCAGAAGAGGGGAUGAGAUACCGGGGUGUCCCACGCCGUACCCUAUGAGUGCGAAGUGUGGGUGGGUUACCGCCCCUCAGUGCUGCAGCUAACAUAUUAAGCACUCAGCCUGGCGAGUACUGUCGCAAGACGGAAGCUGACAUGAUUUUACUGGG
This 397-nucleotide ribosomal RNA is filed under the name uncultured bacterium. RNAcentral describes it as "partial 16S ribosomal RNA". It matches the Rfam family "Bacterial small subunit ribosomal RNA", at positions 523 to 918 of the family's 1533-position model. The record is from RNAcentral.